GGUGAUUGUGUGUCUGGUCCAUGUUAACUUGAUUUGGCGACCGAACUGAAAAUUGUUGGUUGAUAAUUUCAUGACUAGAUCCACACUCAUCCA
RNAcentral lists this microRNA precursor (93 nucleotides) under Daphnia pulex (common water flea). Lineage: Eukaryota; Metazoa; Arthropoda; Branchiopoda; Diplostraca; Daphniidae. The record is from RNAcentral.